GAUGGACGUGGUCCAGCCCACCAGUGACACAGCAGCAAACUUAAUACCCAUCUUUGCUGCGAGGCCAAAACAAACGGUUGGUCUAAGCAACUGGAAGAAGACGUGGGUUGACCAGAAGCUGAUUUCUUUAUUGAGAAGUUGAGAAAGAUUUGGCUUUUUUCUGUUCUGAAGCUGGUGUUAGCGGCAAGAUGGAGAAAUGAGGGCCCAUCAGGAGUAGACAACAAGCUGAAACACCUAAUGGACCGGUGUGACCCUGAGGAGAGGCCUUGAGCCCUUGCUGGGAGCCUCAGGGUUCUGUCUGUGUUUUUCAAGGUUGGAAUGAGAGCUGU
Lontra canadensis (Northern American river otter) is the source of this 329-nucleotide long non-coding RNA. RefSeq lists it as uncharacterized. The transcript is spliced from 3 exons. The record is from RefSeq and is a predicted model, not a curated record. NCBI's taxonomy places the organism in Eukaryota, Metazoa, Chordata, Mammalia, Carnivora, Mustelidae.